RNAcentral lists this ribosomal RNA (1409 nucleotides) under Pediococcus pentosaceus. RNAcentral's name for it is "bacterial SSU rRNA". It matches the Rfam family "Bacterial small subunit ribosomal RNA". Lineage: Bacteria; Bacillati; Bacillota; Bacilli; Lactobacillales; Lactobacillaceae. The record is from RNAcentral.
AUGACGUACUUGUACUGAUUGAGAUUUUAACACGAAGUGAGUGGCGAACGGGUGAGUAACACGUGGGUAACCUGCCCAGAAGUAGGGGAUAACACCUGGAAACAGAUGCUAAUACCGUAUAACAGAGAAAACCGCAUGGUUUUCUUUUAAAAGAUGGCUCUGCUAUCACUUCUGGAUGGACCCGCGGCGUAUUAGCUAGUUGGUGAGGUAAAGGCUCACCAAGGCAGUGAUACGUAGCCGACCUGAGAGGGUAAUCGGCCACAUUGGGACUGAGACACGGCCCAGACUCCUACGGGAGGCAGCAGUAGGGAAUCUUCCACAAUGGACGCAAGUCUGAUGGAGCAACGCCGCGUGAGUGAAGAAGGGUUUCGGCUCGUAAAGCUCUGUUGUUAAAGAAGAACGUGGGUAAGAGUAACUGUUUACCCAGUGACGGUAUUUAACCAGAAAGCCACGGCUAACUACGUGCCAGCAGCCGCGGUAAUACGUAGGUGGCAAGCGUUAUCCGGAUUUAUUGGGCGUAAAGCGAGCGCAGGCGGUCUUUUAAGUCUAAUGUGAAAGCCUUCGGCUCAACCGAAGAAGUGCAUUGGAAACUGGGAGACUUGAGUGCAGAAGAGGACAGUGGAACUCCAUGUGUAGCGGUGAAAUGCGUAGAUAUAUGGAAGAACACCAGUGGCGAAGGCGGCUGUCUGGUCUGCAACUGACGCUGAGGCUCGAAAGCAUGGGUAGCGAACAGGAUUAGAUACCCUGGUAGUCCAUGCCGUAAACGAUGAUUACUAAGUGUUGGGAGGGUUUCCGCCCUUCAGUGCUGCAGCUAACGCAUUAAGUAAUCCGCCCGGGGAGUACGACCGCAAGGUUGAAACUCAAAAGAAUUGACGGGGGCCCGCACAAGCGGUGGAGCAUGUGGUUUAAUUCGAAGCUACGCGAAGAACCUUACCAGGUCUUGACAUCUUCUGACAGUCUAAGAGAUUAGAGGUUCCCUUCGGGGACAGAAUGACAGGUGGUGCAUGGUUGUCGUCAGCUCGUGUCGUGAGAUGUUGGGUUAAGUCCCGCAACGAGCGCAACCCUUAUUACUAGUUGCCAGCAUUAAGUUGGGCACUCUAGUGAGACUGCCGGUGACAAACCGGAGGAAGGUGGGGACGACGUCAAAUCAUCAUGCCCCUUAUGACCUGGGCUACACACGUGCUACAAUGGAUGGUACAACGAGUCGCGAGACCGCGAGGUUAAGCUAAUCUCUUAAAACCAUUCUCAGUUCGGACUGUAGGCUGCAACUCGCCUACACGAAGUCGGAAUCGCUAGUAAUCGCGGAUCAGCAUGCCGCGGUGAAUACGUUCCCGGGCCUUGUACACACCGCCCGUCACACCAUGAGAGUUUGUAACACCCAAAGCCGGUGGGGUAACCUUUUAGGAGCU